GAUGAACGCUGGCGGCGUGCCUAAUACAUGCAAGUCGAGCGAACAGACGAGGCUCUUUCUCCUCAGACGUUAGCGGCGGGCGGGUGAGUAACACGUGGCUUACCUACCUCUAAGACUUGGGUAACUUCGGGAAACCCGAGCUCCUACCGGGUACUCUUUUUGACCGCUUGGUUUACUAGUGACAGACCGUUUUUCUUUCCCUUAUAGAUGUAUCCGCUCCGUAUUGGCUUGUUGGUAAGGUAACGGCUUACCAAGGCGCCGAUGCGUAGCCGACCUGAGAGGGUGAUCGGCCAAACUGGAACUGAGACACGGUCCAGGCUCCUAAGGGAGGCAGCAGAAGGGAAUCUUCCGCAAAGGGCGAAAGCCUGACGGAGCAACGCCGCGUGAGUGAUGAAGGUCUUCGGAGCGUAAAACUCUGUUAUUAGGGAAGAACAAAUGUGUAAGUAACUAUGCACGUCUUGACGGUACCUAAUCAGAAAGCCACGGCUAACUACGUG
RNAcentral lists this ribosomal RNA (497 nucleotides) under uncultured bacterium. Its description in RNAcentral is "partial 16S ribosomal RNA". It matches the Rfam family "Bacterial small subunit ribosomal RNA", at positions 28 to 507 of the family's 1533-position model. The record is from RNAcentral.